CGAUUAGACUGCAUUUUGCCCUGCUUUUCUCUUUUUCUUCCCUUUCUUUCUCUCUUUCUCAUUCUUUUCUCCCUGCCAGAAGAUUGGAGACGAUAUUCUUUUGCGAUCAGUUCAGUAAUACAGUGUCUUUGAGUGUUCACACGAGCAUUUCAGUGGAGAAGAAAAGAAACUUUGCUACCUGGGAACAGAAGACUGCUUAGGUCAGUGAAUGCUAAUAAAGUCCUUAAGGACUUAUGGAGCCAGGAGUUAACUUUUGUCAACUCUUAAGCGAAGAUGCUGGUGUUCCCCAUCCUGCUGUUCUCACUUCUCCAGGACCGAGGCCCCGUGGAGGGAACCAAGAUCCUAGACCAUCCCUUAGACAUGAACUGGUUCAUACCUUGCCAGCUGCAUCUCCCUUGCUUCUUCCAGGACAGAGUGGGUUGAAAGAGCCAGCAGGAACUGAAAAGGAUAUGAAUCAGAGAGAAAAAACUGAAGUUUUGUCCCAGAAAAAAAAGGGGAGGACAGGCAGAGGAUUUGUCACUGGUAAGGCAAUUUACACACUUGUCCUUUUCAUAGUGAGUCAUGGUCUGUGAUACAUUUCAUAGCAAUGUCUAUGAGUUUCCAAAUCUGGAAGAAGACAUAUCAGCCAAAUAAGGGAGAGAGAAGAAAACAGGCUUUUAAUCCACCUAGUUACCAUUCACAGAGCUUUAGGAGUGGAACUCCAAAAAAUGACUAUUGCAGCACCCCGCUUUUCGUCAUAUCUUUAAGCCCAUUGAGAAAGAAAAUUAGCUAAUCACUUCUAAAAUAUCUUCAACAGAGCAACAAAGAGGUUCAAUCAGAGAAGCUCCAGUAUUCCAGAGAAAGUUCUUUCUUCCUGAUCUCUUCUCCAAACUUCCUUUUUCUUUGGGGAGGGUGGAGUGGGUUAUAAUAAUUUGAGGCAAAUUCUUUUCUCUUUUUUAGCUUUCAUAUUGGCUGACCUAAGUGCAUCUUAUAGGCUUAAAAAAAGUUAUUAAAGCUGAAGUCUUUAUUUUUUUCUUUAAGUAAUCUCACUUUGUUAAAAAAAAAAACUCUCUUAAGUCCAGUUCUUCCAUAAUUAAGGCCAUUUGGCGUUACUCUUUUAAGGAUGUCCCCCAGAUUGUCUAAUAAUAGAAUAAAAACAUCCACACUUUGUCCUAGUCACCUGGGUACCCACAGGACUGGAUGCCACUCAGAGUACAUCACAAGUGCUGAAAUAAAUGUUGACCAAAAGCGUAAAUAUGGCCUCAUAUCUGUGUAACUUCUAAUAGUUGAUGGUAAGCUUUACCCUCCUCAAAAAAUUAUCGGAGGGUGUCUUAUUUUCAUACCCCCUCUACUCCAGAAAAGCAUCUUUCUUUUAGUUAUAAAUCCAGUAAGUGGUAAAGUGGAGACCUGAAGUAGGAUCUCCAGUUCCCAGUCACGUAAGUUUCUUGACUUUACCUGAACAUUUUCUAAAGUGGAGCUGCUAGUGUUUUGAAAAAAAUACAGAGCCCCCCCCCCCCGACCCCCAACUCAACCUCAUAUUCAGAUAAUGAAGAGAAUAAUGGAAGGAGCAAUAGCAGUUCUAAUAUGUUUGUGUUUGGAAGUGUAUCUGAAUAUCAUGUUAUCUUGUUCAUCGUAAAAUGUUCUUUGUUCGUAGCUAGCUUUUAGUCUUCUCCAGCCUAGAGCUCCAGGUCCCACUGCCUUUCUGCAAGCUUAUCGUUGUUUUUCACAUAGCUUCUCCACAUUUUGUUCUGGGGCAUGGAAUAUUAAUAGGCUAUGACAGGCGCUUUGAAACUCUUCAUCAACAAGAUGUACACGGUGCCUUGAUUGGAUGGUGUGUGGUCAGCGCAAGGAACUUGAACACCUCAUGAUGCAAUCCUUGCUUGUCCAGAUCCGAGCCGCAUCCUCAUGGAUACUAGUUGGGUUUGUUUCCGAUAAGCCAUGGCAGGAAUUCCCAAGAUUUCUGUAGCGCUGAGAUCGACCAUCAUUACCAUUUGUUUCAGUGACUUUCCUAGAACUUAAAGGUGGAUGUUAAAUAAUCAGGGAAAUGCAUAAAAGGGUCUCUUGCAUCAAGCUCUUUAAAAACAGGGACAGUGUCAGAAAUUUCUAUAGCCCCAUCCCCAAAUUCAUAGUCUGUCACAGAGCAGGUGCUUAACAUGUAUUUCUUAUACUGAAUUGGCGUCUGUAAGAAAACCCAAGAAACCUGAGACUCAAUCUUGACUUUGUCCAUAACAAUGUGCCCUCGGAGAGGUUACUAGAUUUGUUAUAUCUUUUCUAAAAUCGGGUACUUAGCUACUCUUAAACACCCAAUGAGAAUAUGAGAGUUACAAGAAGUUGGGCUUUACAGAAUAUUGGUUUUGAACUUCACAGAUCAGGUGGAGUUCUUUUCUUUAAAUAAAUACAAACUGAUGGUCUUUGUGUCAUAAUCCUGUAUCAAGCAAAUAAUCAAUGCAAAGGAACUCUUGGUGACCUACUUGUGGGUUACUGUAUGUAAUUAGUAUGUCAUUUUUGACAAAUUUCUACAACCCUCAAUAUCUAUUUUUCCCCUUAAUUCACAUUCUAUUGUGAUCAUCUUUAUUGUUGAAAUGGAAUUGUCAACUUGAAGAUAAUUUGAAAAAUGGUUUGCUGCAAUCUGGGUUCAUAAAUCUUAAUGGGAAGAGCCAAGAGCCAACAGCUCCGAGCAUUGCGAAAUCAUUAAAUAAGGCUCCUGGAAUAUGUGAGUAGUCUGCCACUUUCUCAUUAAUCUGAGGCAGAAUACCCAGAAAGAGUAUUUCGUAAAUGUUAGUGUUGGGUCCUGGAUGACUUAGGAGUUUAUUGCAUUUAUUAGUGAAGAUGAUCUGUAUUUUAAUGUUGCUUUUUUUUUUUUUUUUUUUUAAGUCGUGGAGUUCCCAUUGUGGCUCAGUAGGUUAAGAACCUGACUAGUAUCCAUGAGGUUUCCAGUUCAAUCCCUGGCCUUGCUCACUGUGUUAAGGAUCUAAUGUUGCUGCAAGAUGCAGCAUCGGUCACAGAUGCGGCUUGUAUCCAGCGUUGCUAUGGCGUAGGCCGGCAGCUGCAGCUCCUAUUCAACCCCUAGCCCAGGAACUUCCAUAUGCCGCAGAUGCAGCCAUAAAAAAAGUUUUAGAAAAAGACAUUGUAAACUUGAAAAUGAACAAUACUGAUGAUUUCUCUCAUUUCGUUUUCUUAAUAUCUCUUCAGCCAAAAUGCCCACCACUAAGUAGGCAUCAGAAUCACCCAGAGGACUUGUUAAAUCAUGGACAGCUGAAUACUAUCUUCAGCAUUUCUAAUGAAGUAGAUUUGGGUGGGAUGGGUCCCAAGAAUUCCCAAUUAUGACAAGUUUCCUGGUGUUGCUAAAGCUGCGGGUCCAAGGACCACACACUGAGAACACUGUUACCUGAUCUCCCUUACGAUUGCCAAAGCGAGUAAAAAUAAAUAUUCCGUGGGAUUAGCAUAUACACACUGCUCCUCUUUUUUGAGACUACUUUAAUAAAAUGAGACUUAGCUAAGCCAUCAAUGGCGCAAAUCACAGACAGACCUCAAGGGUGUCUGUAUAGCGCUAUGAUGAAUACUGGGGGAAGGAAAGUCAUAAAGAA
Molecule: long non-coding RNA, 3566 nt
Filed under: Sus scrofa (pig)
Lineage: Eukaryota; Metazoa; Chordata; Mammalia; Artiodactyla; Suidae
Description: lncRNA (ENSSSCG00060061125.1)
Source: RNAcentral